CCUACGGGAGGCAGCAGUAAGGAAUAUUGGUCAAUGGGCGCAAGCCUGAACCAGCCAUCCAGCGUGCAGGAAGAAGGCCCUACGGGUUGUAAACUGCUUUUGUCAGGGAAGAAACCUUUGGAUUUACUCCGAAGCUGACGGUACCUGAAGAAUAAGCACCGGCUAACUCCGUGCCAGCAGCCGCGGUAAUACGGAGGGUGCGAGCGUUAUCCGGAAUUACUGGGUUUAAAGGGUGCGUAGGCGGCUAUGUAAGUCAGGAGUGAAAGUUUGCGGCUCAACCGUAAAAUUGCUUUUGAUACUGCAUGGCUAGAAUCAGGAUGAGGUUAGCGGAAUGUGGCAUGUAGCGGUGAAAUGCAUAGAUAUGCCAUAGAACACCAAUUGCGAAGGCAGCUGGCUAGACCUGCAUUGACGCUGAGGCACGAAAGCGUGGGGAGCGAACAGGAUUAGAUACCCUGGUAGUCCACGCCCUAAACGAUGCUUACUCGACGUAUGGUCCUUGAGGUUGUGCGUCCAAGGGAAACCGUUAAGUAAGCCACCUGGGGAGUACGACCGCAAGGUUGAAACUCAAAGGAAUUGACGG
Molecule: ribosomal RNA, 580 nt
Filed under: uncultured bacterium
Lineage: Bacteria
Description: bacterial SSU rRNA
Rfam family: Bacterial small subunit ribosomal RNA
Source: RNAcentral